Molecule: ribosomal RNA, 852 nt
Filed under: Corynebacterium sp.
Lineage: Bacteria; Bacillati; Actinomycetota; Actinomycetes; Mycobacteriales; Corynebacteriaceae
Description: bacterial SSU rRNA
Rfam family: Bacterial small subunit ribosomal RNA
Source: RNAcentral
CAGUCGAACGGAGAGGCCUCAGCUUGCUGGGGUACUCGAGUGGCGAACGGGUGAGUAACACGUGGGUGAUCUGCCCUGCACUUUGGGAUAAGCUUGGGAAACUGGGUCUAAUACCGAAUAUGACCACUUCUUGGAUGUUGUGGUGGAAAGCUUUUGCGGUGUGGGAUGAGCCUGCGGCCUAUCAGCUUGUUGGUGGGGUAAUGGCCUACCAAGGCGGCGACGGGUAUCCGGCCUGAGAGGGUGUACGGACACAUUGGGACUGAGAUACGGCCCAGACUCCUACGGGAGGCAGCAGUGGGGAAUAUUGCACAAUGGGCGCAAGCCUGAUGCAGCGACGCCGCGUGGGGGAUGAAGGCCUUCGGGUUGUAAACUCCUUUCGCUAUCGACGAAGCCUUUUAGGUGACGGUAGGUAGAUAAGAAGCACCGGCUAACUACGUGCCAGCAGCCGCGGUAAUACGUAGGGUGCAAGCGUUGUCCGGAAUUACUGGGCGUAAAGAGCUCGUAGGUGGUUUGUCGCGUCGUCUGUGAAAUCCCGGGGCUUAACUUCGGGCGUGCAGGCGAUACGGGCAUAACUUGAGUGCUGUAGGGGAGACUGGAAUUCCUGGUGUAGCGGUGAAAUGCGCAGAUAUCAGGAGGAACACCGAUGGCGAAGGCAGGUCUCUGGGCAGUAACUGACGCUGAGGAGCGAAAGCAUGGGUAGCGAACAGGAUUAGAUACCCUGGUAGUCCAUGCCGUAGACGGUGGGCGCUAGGUGUAGGGGGCUUCCACGUCUUCUGUGCCGUAGCUAACGCAUUAAGCGCCCCGCCUGGGGAGUACGGCCGCAAGGCUAAAAACUCAAAGGAAUUGACGGGG